UCUAAACGACUCUCGGCAAUGGAUAUCUCGGCUCUCGCAUCGAUGAAGAACGUAGCGAAAUGCGAUACUUGGUGUGAAUUGCAGAAUCCCGUGAACCAUCGAGUCUUUGAACGCAAGUUGCGUCCGAAACCACUUGGUUGAGGGCACGUCUGCCUGGGCGUCACGC
Molecule: ribosomal RNA, 166 nt
Filed under: Parentucellia latifolia
Lineage: Eukaryota; Viridiplantae; Streptophyta; Magnoliopsida; Lamiales; Orobanchaceae
Description: 5.8S ribosomal RNA
Rfam family: 5.8S ribosomal RNA
About the family: 5.8S ribosomal RNA (5.8S rRNA) is a component of the large subunit of the eukaryotic ribosome. It is transcribed by RNA polymerase I as part of the 45S precursor that also contains 18S and 28S rRNA.
Source: RNAcentral